UAAUUCCUGGGGUGCACGACAACUUCUGUAUUUUUGAACCUACAACACUUUAAAAGGGAUUCCUAUAUCUGUAGUUGGAUGUCGGGCCGUCACUGCGUAUAUACAUCUUGGUAUUUGCGUACUUAUGGCAACAUAGCAACGGAAGGCAGAAGGCUGCAUGCGGUUGCCCACCUAGCCUUUGCUAGGAGUCAAAAAACAGAAGCCGGCAUUUCGGGAUAGA
Molecule: non-coding RNA, 220 nt
Filed under: Lachnospiraceae bacterium
Lineage: Bacteria; Bacillati; Bacillota; Clostridia; Lachnospirales; Lachnospiraceae
Description: 6S RNA
Rfam family: 6S / SsrS RNA
About the family: E. coli 6S RNA was the first non coding RNA to be sequenced, but its function was unknown until recently. It consists of 184 nucleotides that fold into an extended hairpin structure with a large single-stranded internal bulge. The 6S RNA specifically associates with RNA polymerase holoenzyme containing the sigma70 specificity factor.
Source: RNAcentral